Molecule: long non-coding RNA, 1005 nt
Filed under: Salmo salar (Atlantic salmon)
Lineage: Eukaryota; Metazoa; Chordata; Actinopteri; Salmoniformes; Salmonidae
Description: lncRNA (ENSSSAG00000120559.1)
Source: RNAcentral
GUGGGGAGAGGAGGAUGGAGGGAGAGGAGGGCAGGAGGAAGGAGGGAGAGGAGGAUGGGAGGAAGGAGGGAGAGGAGGAAGGAGGGAGAGGAGGAUGGGAGGAUGGAGGGAGAGGAGGAUGGAGGGAGAUGUAGAACCAAGAGAAAAUACUAUGUCCACACCCACACACCCCCCUCCUUCCCUUCUCCCUUCCCUCCUUCCCUUCUCCCUUCCCUCCUUCCCUUCUCCCUUCCCUCCUUCCCUUCUCCCUUCCCUCCUUCCCUUCUCCCUUCCCUCCUUCCCUUCUCCCUUCCCUCCUUCCCUUCUCCCUUCCCUCCUUCCCUUCUCCCUUCCUCCUUCCCUUCUCCCUUCCCUCCUUCCCUUCUCCCUUCCCUCCUUCCCUUCUCCCUUCCCUCCUUCCCUUCUCCCUUCCCUCCUUCCCUUCUCCCUUCCCUCCUUCCCUUCUCCAUGCCCCACUGAACAGGAACGACUGUUGGUGUAGACUUCUUAGUGGACUUCUCCCUUUCUGUCCACUUAGUUCAUGCUCCAAUCACAUCAGCGUGUCAAUGUGUGUUUCCAAAUCAUAGAUGUACUAUUGUGAUGUCACUGUGUACACACACACACACACACACAGAUAUUCCACAUCUCUCUGGAGUGUGUGUAGUUCUGCACUGUCACAGAAUGAAACAGUGAUGUAACAGAAUGAAACAGUGAUGUAACAGAAUGAAACAGUGAUGUCACAGAAUGGAACAGUAAGGUCACAGAAUGGAACAGUGAUGUCACAGAAUGGAACAGUGAUGUCACAGAAUGGAACAGUGAUGUCACAGAAUGGAACAGGGAUGUCACAGCUAGGGAACUGAGAAGUGUGGAGUUACAGGCCCGAUAUCCGAGGGGACGGUUUUCAGGGUCACACCGUUUCCCAGACACAGACACUGAAGCUGCUGAAACAGCUUUUAAAACAGAAACACAAGAAGAAGAAGAAAAUUCAAUUGACGAUAAUCAUCUCAGCUUUGGACUUGAGGGAGG